UCCUACGGGGGGCAGCAGUGAGGAAUAUUGGUCAAUGGGCGGGAGCCUGAACCAGCCAAGCCGCGUGAAGGAAGAAGGCGCCAAGCGUCGUAAACUUCUUUUGUCGGGGAACAAAGGGCGCCACGUGUGGCGUUGUGAGUGUACCCGAAGAAAAAGCAUCGGCUAACUCCGUGCCAGCAGCCGCGGUAAUACGGAGGAUGCGAGCGUUAUCCGGAUUUAUUGGGUUUAAAGGGUGCGUAGGCGGUCCGGAAAGUCAGCGGUAAAAGCCCGGGGCUCAACCUCGGCGAGCCGUUGAAACUGUCGGA
This 305-nucleotide ribosomal RNA is filed under the name uncultured bacterium. RNAcentral describes it as "bacterial SSU rRNA". It matches the Rfam family "Bacterial small subunit ribosomal RNA", at positions 337 to 640 of the family's 1533-position model. The record is from RNAcentral.